RNAcentral lists this transfer RNA (90 nucleotides) under Blumeria graminis f. sp. tritici. It matches the Rfam family "tRNA". From Rfam's summary of the family: Transfer RNA (tRNA) molecules are approximately 80 nucleotides in length. Their secondary structure includes four short double-helical elements and three loops (D, anti-codon, and T loops). Lineage: Eukaryota; Fungi; Ascomycota; Leotiomycetes; Helotiales; Erysiphaceae. The record is from Rfam by way of RNAcentral. RNAcentral also lists the same sequence under 1 other name.
GGCACUUUGGCGGAGUGGUUAACGCGAUGCCCUGCUACCUUCAGUAAGGCAUUUCCCUAGGGAGCGUGUGUUCGAAUCACACAGGUGUCG